This 740-nucleotide ribosomal RNA is filed under the name uncultured bacterium. RNAcentral describes it as "bacterial SSU rRNA". It matches the Rfam family "Bacterial small subunit ribosomal RNA", at positions 50 to 788 of the family's 1533-position model. The record is from RNAcentral.
UACACAUGCAGUCGAGCGAAGCGCUUUACUUAGAAUUCUUCGGAAGGAAGAGUGGAGUGACUUAGCGGCGGACGGGUGAGUAACGCGUGGAUAACCUGCCUCAUACAGGGGGAUAACAGUCAGAAAUGGCUGCUAAUACCGCAUAAGCCCACAGUGCUGCAUGGCACAGUGGGAAAAACUUAGGGUGGUAUGAGAUGGAUCCGCGUCUGAUUAGCUGGUUGGUAAGGUAACGGCUUACCAAGGCGACGAUCAGUAGCCGGCCUGAGAGGGCGACCGGCCACAUUGGGACUGAGACACGGCCCAAACUCCUACGGGAGGCAGCAGUGGGGAAUAUUGCACAAUGGGGGAAACCCUGAUGCAGCGACGCCGCGUGAAGGAUGAAGUAUUUCGGUAUGUAAACUUCUAUCAGCAGGGAAGAAAAUGACGGUACCUGACUAAGAAGCCCCGGCUAACUACGUGCCAGCAGCCGCGGUAAUACGUAGGGGGCAAGCGUUAUCCGGAUUUACUGGGUGUAAAGGGAGCGUAGACGGCUGUGCAAGUCUGAUGUGAAAACCCGGGGCUCAACCCCGGGACUGCAUUGGAAACUGUGCAGCUAGAGUGUCGGAGAGGUAAGUGGAAUUCCUAGUGUAGCGGUGAAAUGCGUAGAUAUUAGGAGGAACACCAGUGGCGAAGGCGGCUUACUGGACGAUGACUGACGUUGAGGCUCGAAAGCGUGGGGAGCAAACAGGAUUAGAUACCCU